UCGAGGAUCUUCGGCAAUGGGCGCAAGCCUGACCGAGCGACGCCGCGUGUGCGAUGAAGGCCUUCGGGUUGUAAAGCACUGUCGAGAGAAAGAAAGCCGCAAGGUUGAUCGAUCUCUGGAGGAAGCACGGGCUAAGUUCGUGCCAGCAGCCGCGGUAAGACGAACCGUGCGAACGUUGUUCGGAUUCACUGGGCUUAAAGGGCGCGUAGGCGGGCAUCAGGGUCCGGGGUGAAAGCCCCCAGCUCAACUGGGGAAUGGCCUUGGAAACCGGAUGCCUCGAGGGAGGUAGGGGCAGGUGGAACUUCCGGUGGAGCGGUGAAAUGCGUAGAUAUCGGAAGGAACGCCGGUGGCGAAAGCGACCUGCUGGACCUCUUCUGACGCUGAGGCGCGAAAGCUAGGGGAGCAAACGGGAUUAGAUACCCCCGUAGUCC
Molecule: ribosomal RNA, 431 nt
Filed under: uncultured bacterium
Lineage: Bacteria
Description: bacterial SSU rRNA
Rfam family: Bacterial small subunit ribosomal RNA
Source: RNAcentral